GAAAAGGAGGCAUGUAAUGACGUAACAAUGACCAGGUUACCUGAUAAACACCCGGAGAACCGUCCCGACAGAACCAACUAAACAGCUCCCGAGCAGAUACCUCAAAACCUACAUACCCGAACACGCGGAAGUGGGGUAUUUAUCUACCAAUACCCGUCCCUCAUUGGCUGAUGAGUGAGCACAGAACCGACUCCACUCUUACAACCUGCACCUGUGCCCAGCCCAACACCAGCAAAGCCAGAGCAAGCCCUUGGAUGGCAGAUAUUAAGAAUUCAACAGAGACAACUAGAACUGAUGAAAGCAUGAACAAUAUGAUGCCAAUCCAAUGGUUUUGCCCAAGAUAAUUAAGAAUAACCCCGUGAUACUUAUCAUGACUCCACAGGAAUUCAAACAGAUAUUUGUAUACCUAUUCCCAGAGGAAGCGCAAAGAAAAGUUUUGAUAGAACAAAAAACUUAUCCAGUCUUGGCAUUGUACCCACUCUACCUAUGAGGAGACCAACACCCAGAGAAACAGAGGUUGCACUUAGACGGCACGUGUAAAGGCACAAGAGGCAGGAAGAAACACCGCACAGAGGAAGGAGCUUCACCAACUCCACCCCUUCAGCAGCACCUGUCACCCUAAUGGCCCUGGGUCCUCUCUUAAUAAAAUUAAACU
This is a long non-coding RNA of Neofelis nebulosa (Clouded leopard), 655 nucleotides long. RefSeq lists it as uncharacterized. NCBI's taxonomy places the organism in Eukaryota, Metazoa, Chordata, Mammalia, Carnivora, Felidae. The record is from RefSeq and is a predicted model, not a curated record. The transcript is spliced from 5 exons.